GUAGGUGGCAAGCGUUGUCCGGAAUUAUUGGGCGUAAAGCGCGCGCAGGCGGUCCUUUAAGUCUGAUGUGAAAGCCCACGGCUCAACCGUGGAGGGUCAUUGGAAACUGGAGGACUUGAGUACAGAAGAGGAAAGCGGAAUUCCAAGUGUAGCGGUGAAAUGCGUAGAGAUUUGGAGGAACACCAGUGGCGAAGGCGGCUUUCUGGUCUGUAACUGACGCUGAGGCGCGAAAGCGUGGGGAGCAAACAGGAUUAGAUACCCUGGUAGUCCACGCCGUAAACGAUGAGUGCUAAGUGUUAGGGGGGUUUCCGCCCCCCUUAGUGCUGCAGCUAACGCAUUAAGCACUCCGCCUGGGAGUACGGCCGCAAGGCUG
This 373-nucleotide ribosomal RNA is filed under the name uncultured organism. Its description in RNAcentral is "partial 16S ribosomal RNA". It matches the Rfam family "Bacterial small subunit ribosomal RNA", at positions 527 to 896 of the family's 1533-position model. The record is from RNAcentral.